This 506-nucleotide ribosomal RNA is filed under the name uncultured bacterium. RNAcentral describes it as "partial 16S ribosomal RNA". It matches the Rfam family "Bacterial small subunit ribosomal RNA", at positions 28 to 523 of the family's 1533-position model. The record is from RNAcentral.
GAUGAACGCUAGCGGCAGGCCUAACACAUGCAAGUCGAGGGGUAACUAGAGUGAUAGCAAUAUUACCUUGGCUAGACCGGCGCACGGGUGCGUAACACGUAUGCAACCUACCUUAUACUGGGGAAUAACUUCGAGAAAUCGGCGCUAAUACCCCAUAACAUUGCGAAGAGGCAUCUCUUUGCAAUUAAAGCUCCGGCGGUAUAAGAUGGGCAUGCGUCCAAUUAGCUAGUUGGUGAGGUAACGGCUCACCAAGGCUACGAUUGGUAGGGGUUCUGAGAGGAUGAUCCCCCACACUGGUACUGGGACACGGACCAGACUCCUACGGGAGGCAGCAGUGAGGAAUAUUGCGCAAUGGACGAAAGUCUGACGCAGCCAUGCCGCGUGCAGGAUGACGGCCCUAUGGGUUGUAAACUGCUUUUGUACGGGAAUAAACCCUUCUACGUGUAGGAGGCUGAAGGUACCGUAAGAAUAAGCACCGGCUAACUCCGUGCCAGCCGCCGCAGUAA